UGAUGUUAUGAUCUGUGUUAUGUGAAUUUCUUGCCAUGUGAUAUGGUAUGAAUAUGAUUGAGACUAUGGAAUUGGUUUUGGUGUAGACUAUGUGAUGGAAAAAUGAUAUAAUUGAUGUAUAUAUAUAGUCUUGUGUGAAUGGCCAUCUUGGUAUGAUUUGGUAGUUGAAAUGGUAAGGUUUUGAUAUGAUUUUGAGUUUGGUUAUAUGUUGUUU
RNAcentral lists this long non-coding RNA (214 nucleotides) under Gossypium barbadense (sea-island cotton). RNAcentral's name for it is "long non-coding RNA (GBAR_LNC006316)". The record is from RNAcentral. Lineage: Eukaryota; Viridiplantae; Streptophyta; Magnoliopsida; Malvales; Malvaceae.